Molecule: ribosomal RNA, 653 nt
Filed under: uncultured bacterium
Lineage: Bacteria
Description: bacterial SSU rRNA
Rfam family: Bacterial small subunit ribosomal RNA
Source: RNAcentral
CGAACGAGAAGUCCCGUUCUCAAUUCUUCGGAAGAGAAAGCGGGAUGGAAAGUGGCGGAAGGGUGAGGAACACGUGGGUAAUCUACCCCCAAGUUGGGGAUAGCCACUGGAAACGGUGGAUAAUACCGAAUGUGGUAGGGCCGCGUAGGCGGCCUGGUCUAAAGGCGGGGCUCCUUCGGGACCUGUCGCUUGGGGACGAGCCCGCGUCCUAUCAGCUUGUUGGUGGGGUAACGGCUCACCAAGGCGAAGACGGGUAGCUGGUCUGAGAGGAUGGUCAGCCACACUGGGACUGAGACACUGCCCAGACUCCUACGGGAGGCUGCAGUCGAGAAUCAUUCGCAAUGCACGAAAGUGCGACGAUGCGACGCCGCGUGCAGGAUGACGGCCUUCGGGUUGUAAACUGCUGUCAUGGGGGAAAAACGGCCGGGGCGUGAAUACCGCCUCGGUGUGAUGGUACCCCAAGAGGAAGCCACGGCUAACUCUGUGCCAGCAGCCGCGGUAAUACAGAGGUGGCGAGCGUUGUUCGGAUUUACUGGGCGUAAAGGGUGCGUAGGCGGCUUCGUGUGUCGGGUGUGAAAGCCCACGGCUCAACCGUGGAACGGCAUCCGAAACUGCGGAGCUCGAGUACUGGAGAGGAGAGCGGAAUUCUCGGU